GGGUGCGUAGCUCAAUUGGAUAGAGCGUUAGAUUACGGCUCUGAAGGUUGGGGGUUCGACUCCUCCCGCGCUCACCU
Molecule: transfer RNA, 77 nt
Filed under: Elizabethkingia miricola
Lineage: Bacteria; Pseudomonadati; Bacteroidota; Flavobacteriia; Flavobacteriales; Weeksellaceae
Description: tRNA-Arg
Rfam family: tRNA
About the family: Transfer RNA (tRNA) molecules are approximately 80 nucleotides in length. Their secondary structure includes four short double-helical elements and three loops (D, anti-codon, and T loops).
Source: RNAcentral